GUUGUUCGGAAUUACUGGGCGUAAAGCGCACGUAGGCGGGUAUUUAAGUCAGGGGUGAAAUCCCAGAGCUCAACUCUGGAACUGCCUUUGAUACUGGGUACCUAGAGUAUGGAAGAGGUGAGUGGAAUUCCGAGUGUAGAGGUGAAAUUCGUAGAUAUUCGGAGGAACACCAGUGGCGAAGGCGGCUCACUGGUCCAUUACUGACGCUGAGGUGCGAAAGCGUGGGGAGCAAACA
This 235-nucleotide ribosomal RNA is filed under the name Rhizobium subbaraonis. RNAcentral describes it as "partial 16S ribosomal RNA". It matches the Rfam family "Bacterial small subunit ribosomal RNA", at positions 540 to 774 of the family's 1533-position model. The record is from RNAcentral. Lineage: Bacteria; Pseudomonadati; Pseudomonadota; Alphaproteobacteria; Hyphomicrobiales; Rhizobiaceae.